This 264-nucleotide small nuclear RNA is filed under the name Aotus nancymaae (Ma's night monkey). RNAcentral describes it as "7SK RNA (ENSANAG00000008242.1)". The stretch from base 1 to 232 matches the Rfam family "7SK RNA". From Rfam's summary of the family: 7SK was discovered as an abundant small nuclear RNA in the mid-70s but a possible function has only recently been suggested. Two independent studies have found that 7SK RNA binds the CDK9/cyclin T complex (known as elongation factor P-TEFb). P-TEFb activates transcription by phosphorylating the C-terminal domain of RNA polymerase II. The record is from Rfam by way of RNAcentral. Lineage: Eukaryota; Metazoa; Chordata; Mammalia; Primates; Aotidae.
GGAUGUGAGGGUGAUCUGGGUAGUUGGGCGUGUUUCCCCUUUCUCCUUCAUUGCUCCACAUGCUCAGUUGAUGAGAUUGGCCUCCCCAAUAGACUGUUCUUCAGUCAAGAGCGUAUGAGUAACUGCGCACCCCUGCUAGAACCUCCAAACAAGCUCUCCAAAGUGAUAAAUAGGAAAAAAGAAAGAAGAAAGCAGUGACAAUUUCUGAGCAAGUCUAAAAUCAGUCUUCUUAGGCUCAAUGCUCUAUGUUCUAGGACUAUUGGA